Dermacentor albipictus is the source of this 4265-nucleotide long non-coding RNA. RefSeq lists it as uncharacterized. NCBI's taxonomy places the organism in Eukaryota, Metazoa, Arthropoda, Arachnida, Ixodida, Ixodidae. The record is from RefSeq and is a predicted model, not a curated record.
UUUUAUGCGAAGCAUAUUACGAGGGCUCAACCCAGCUCCUCAGGCGCGGCGGUGACCAUGAAAUCACGUGACACCGUGACGUCACGACAGAGGAGAAGUGGCUUUGGCUCAACUCUUGCAAGACGGGCUGGGUGGGAAUCGAACCAGGGUCUCCGGAGUGUGGGACGGAGACGCUACCACUGAGCCACGAGUACAACGCUUCAAAGCGGUACAAAAGCGCCUCUAGUGAAUGCGGUGUUGCCUUAGAAACGCGCUGUUUCUAAGGGCCCGUACAUGGUCAGUCCGCCCGUCCGUUCCGCCCGCUUCCGCCCGCGUGCGUAUGGCUCUCUACUGGUGAGCGAGGAGCGGACGCAAGUUUCCCGUCCGGCCGCCUGCUCGUCUCUCAUUGGCUGGUCCGAGGCGGAUGGUUCGGCUGUCGUCACAGCAAACAUGGCGCGUGCUCGAAGCGACGGGAAGCGGGGACGUAAGGCCUAAGCUACAGCCGCGUCAGAAACAGUCUAUUUUUUCUCCUUUUUGUGAUUUUUACUGAAGUUAUCUGGCACCCACGGAGAUAGUAAUCGAAAGCAGCAAGCCGGUGUACCCUUCCAGACCUCAUCAGUGCGUGCGAUCGCCAACAGAAACAGACGGAGCGCAGGAAGUGUGUGUUGUGUUUACGAGAGCGUCGGAAGAAAUAUUUGAAGCCGUCGACUUCGUGAUUUCUUGUGCCAUGCUUCGCGUGUGCGUCGCAGACGACAACUCCAUCACAUACACCUGCAUUCUGAGCAGCACACACGUUCAAGGCGUAGCGAAAUAAGUAGCGUCCGACUGGCGCACCCAGUGUACACGUUUGGUUUCUGCUCUGUGUAUGCGGAUCGUUGCACGAAGUGGUGAACGCCAGCUCUUCGCAACUUUCAGAAGUAAUGAUACGAUCAGUAGCGAUAAGUUUUUAUCGCCUCGUUAUCGCUGCCAUUCUGCGUGUGCUAUACUGCGUGAGAGCCGUUUUGCCGGCUGCGAUGCGCCGUGGUGACCGCGACGUCCGAGCUGUGUUCUUGCUGUUAUGAAGUGUGUUUCUAUACUGCGUGUGAGCCGUUUUGCCGGUUGCGACGCGUCGAGGUGACCGCGACGUCCGAGCUGUGUUCUUGCUGUUAUGAAGUGUGUUUCUAUACUGCGUGUGAGCCGUUUUGCCGGUUGCGACGCGUCGAGGUGACCGCGACGUUCGAGCUGUGUUCUUGCUGUUAUGAAGUGCGUUUGCAAGCUACAAACCGUGAUAUAUAUGUGCGAUGUGUCGCAGCGUUGCGGGGUGUAGAAGUGCUCGUUCUACGCGAUGUGCGUUUGCUCAGAAGUGAGCUGUGCAGAAGUGUUGCCGAUCGCGUUUUCAUAUUUAGUACCCUUACAGAUAAGCCCUAUCACACCGGCCUUUUCUGCUUCGUACAUCUAUCGUUUCUUUCAAAAGUUGUUACUGCACGGUUGGAGAUGCUUAUAUCGGUGGGGGGAAAUUAGGGAACAUCAUAAUAAUUGCAUACGUCAAGACGUUCAGCGCUUUCGUGAAAUGUGGACGCCCCUGAGAGCACUAAUGUCAUGAAUGCAAAUUUCUGGCAGCCUUGAUUUUCAUAAUGUGGACACUAGUGUGAAGAUCAAGAAUUUCUAGAUUUCACGAAGUAAAUUGCUUUAUAUUUUGUGAUGCAAGUGGCUUACAUAGCCAAAAAUCUGAGCUGCUUGUUUUUGACUAGUGACUAAGCACAGAGUCUGUUUGUGAAGACACUAGUGGCAUGGUAGAUGAAUAUGUUAUAGGUAGGAACUGGAUACUACUUCUUAUUAACUAAAAAUUUUGCGCUUGCUGACAAAAAGCAAUAUGAAUGCAAAAAUGAACACGUAGGACGAGUAGUAACAAGUAAGUGUCACAGGUGUGGUGUUAUAUAACAUUUUGCUAGCAGCCAGCAGAACUGCGUGAAAUAAAUUUUGCCCAGAGUUCUUCCUCACUGGCCAGCCACGGUCACCUUACUAAUGCAGGCAGAAUUCGGUAAGCAAAAGUUUGUGGUUACUUUGUUUAUCCACUCUAUUUGAUUAUCUGGUUCGUGGCGCCUGUUUUGGCACGAGCCUUCAGUUUAAAGCUAACAAUAGCACAAGUACCAGCAUUGUAUGCCUGACAGGUGCUUUAUUUUCUUUCCUCAUGUUCAUUCUGCCAACAGUCAUUAGCAAAUAAUGUGCAUUAAACUGACUUGGGCCUGUAAAGUUGGGCCUGUAAAGUAUGUCCAUUAAAUGUUUUUCCAGUGCACUUUCAUCUGCCAGUAAGUUUACUGCUACCUAUCAUUCGUGGGUGCGGGAUGUUGGACGCUAUAAGUGGCUAUCUGACUGAUCUUCAUUUUGAAUAGGCCACAGUUCCACUCACUAACUGAACCGUUUUCAGCUGCACUGCCAGACUAUAGAAAGGGGGACCUCGCCUCUUGUCAUUCUUUAGCAUGCUCAUGGCCACAGUGCGUUGUCCCUGAGAAGUCAGCUGCUAUCACAAUUUAAAAAGUGCCUAUUGGCUGCUAUGAGUUUAUCCUGAGCACGAAUUUUCACAGUUAUGUAAGCAUUAGUUAUGUGACCGAAGCCAGCCAAUGAGCACGAACUGCUGGCAAAAUUUUGAAGUGACUCUACAGGCAGAGUGUCUGCUCCCUAUAUUAUGUUAGCCACACUGCUUUGUCAGUGUGCUGAAUUGUUCUUUUUUUACAGAAAUUUACUACCCAGCCAGAAAAGAUAUUGCCAGACCAUGAAUUUUAGGCCUGUACACAUGGUCACUUCUUUAUUUUAUGAUAUUCUGGACAUGACACCCAAGUCUAGCUUAGAUUAGCAACAUCAGCUUAACUUAUGCAUGGAGUUGAGUUGCUUCCUGUGAGAAAAAAAGUCAUUGCAUUGCUAAUAGGAAUUAGACUGGUACAAAAAAUUAUUUGUCUUUAUGGCUUGUAGUAUAAGUGGUGCUGUUCAUUUGAUGCACACAGUAACACGUGAACACAAAUGUAUGUGUACCUUGCAUUUAUGUGCAUGUGUGUGUGAAUAAAACAGCACAACUUCUAAUAUCAAGGCACGUUGUACCAACUAUACCCAUUAAAGAUGUUCUAUGUGGCAUUCAGCCGAUCUUAUUGAAAUUUUAUCACAUGGUGCAGUUACAACAUUUCAUACCUGUAUGUAAACCAAUUUAAUAACUGUAUUCACUGCAUGUGAGAAUGCAUAUUUUAGGCCAAUGCAGUGCCUGGGGUACCAACGUUUUAGUUAGCUUUGCCACAGCUUAUUAGAGGGAUCUUGUUGAUUAUGCCAUCCAAACAACUCGUAUAAAGGUUUGUGUUUAGUAUACCAGCAGUGAAAUACUGAAUGCAGCUGCAAUUCUUUGUAUACUAGUGAGAUUAAUUCCACUGCUCAUUGUUCUGUAACAUGUUCUUCAGUCACACUUGUUGACAGUAUUUGGCGUCAUGAGUUCUAGACUAAUUUUCACAUGGGCCUUUCGAUGAAGUCAAAUCUGCCUCUUCAACAGUCAGUUUAGUGGAAAGCCACCACUGAACCAAUAGCUCAAAGACCAAUUCCUGCAUGCUUUUUGCCAAUUGGGUAGUGCGCGGAAACUAUGUGUGAUACAUCACUUCAGCAGAGGAACAUGAUGCACGUAUGUAACAGUUACUCAUCCCUUGAAAUGUGAAUGAUCCAAACCUUUGCGAGCAUAUCAGUCACAACCAUCCAGCAGCACAAGUGGGAACACUUGUGCUAUCACAAGCGAAAACAAGUACAAUAGUACUGCCGUCUCAGCUGGUUUGUCGUGAUUACUUUGCCUGCAAGUUCCUUGUUUAUAUUGGAUAGGCUUCCUACUUUAUAAAUUAACAGCUUUCACAACAUUUACUGUGCUAAUGAAGGCACAGCACAGAUACCAGUACUGAAGGAGGUAUAUACAAGUAGGGCAGAGAACUUGUGGGUAAGCUCAAAAAUAAACGGGUAAAACUAUGUCGAACAAACCAUUUUCACAUUAGAAGAUAUGUCAUCGGCAAUUAAUGCACAUGCAAUAAGUGCCCUGUGUGGGAGAUUGAGACCUGUGAUGCCAAACACCUGUUUGCCUUUUAAAUAUUGACAAAGAAAAAUUCCAGUCUGUACUUCUGUGUCGGAGGGUACAAUAUCAAAGGAGAGGUGCAAAACGGAUUUUGCAUGUAGUAGUCCCUUAUGAAUGUGCUACUCAAGUUGUGCCAAGCAUAGCCAUCUGUGUGCAAAGCAUUGGACAAGGUACCAUAUGUAUGUCUGACACAUUAAAAAUCUUUUGCAUUGAA